This 440-nucleotide ribosomal RNA is filed under the name uncultured bacterium. RNAcentral describes it as "partial 16S ribosomal RNA". It matches the Rfam family "Bacterial small subunit ribosomal RNA", at positions 338 to 795 of the family's 1533-position model. The record is from RNAcentral.
CCUACGGGUGGCAGCAGUAAGGGAUAUUGGUCAAUGGGGGAAACCCUGAACCAGCAACGCCGCGUGAGGGAUGAAGGUUUUAGGAUUGUAAACCUCUGUUGUGAGAGAAGAUAAUGACGGUAGCACACGAAUAAGCACCGGCUAACUACGUGCCAGCAGCCGCGGUAAUACGUAGGGAGCAAGCGUUAUCCGGAUUUACUGGGCGUAAAGGGUGCGUAGGCGGCCUUGCAAGUCAGAUGUGAAAUCCUUUAGCUUAACCACAGAACUGCUUUUGAAACUGUGAGGCUAGAGUGAGGUAGAGGUAGGUGGAAUUCUCGGUGUAGCGGUUAAAUCCGUAGAGAUCAGGAGGAAUACCAAUUGCGAAGGCGCCCUACUGGACCAUUACUGACGCGCAUGCACGAAAGCGUGGGGAGCAAACAGGAUUAGAUACCCGGGUAGUC